RNAcentral lists this ribosomal RNA (253 nucleotides) under uncultured bacterium. RNAcentral's name for it is "partial 16S ribosomal RNA". It matches the Rfam family "Archaeal small subunit ribosomal RNA", at positions 474 to 727 of the family's 1478-position model. RNAcentral also lists the same sequence under 1 other name. The record is from RNAcentral.
UACCUGCAGCCCAAGUGGUGGCCGUUAUUAUUGGGCCUAAAGCGUCCGUAGCCGGUUUGGUAGAUGCCUUUGUAAAUCGAACGGCUCAACCGUUCGAAUUGAGGGUAGACCGCCAGACUCGGGAUCGGGAGAGGUGCGAGGUACUCGGGGGGUAGAGGUGAAAUUCUGUAAUCCUCCGGGGACCACCGGUGGCGAAGGCGUCGCACUUGAACGACUCCGACGGUGAGGGACGAAGCCCUGGGGCGCAAACCGG